This is a long non-coding RNA of Rhineura floridana, 1235 nucleotides long. RefSeq lists it as uncharacterized. The transcript is spliced from 5 exons. The record is from RefSeq and is a predicted model, not a curated record. Lineage: Eukaryota; Metazoa; Chordata; Lepidosauria; Squamata; Rhineuridae.
UGGAAGCUGGGGAGUGUAAACCUUCCAAAGCUAUUGCGAUGGCAAAAUCAAAACACCAGUAAACAGCAGUGCCUGGAACUGCAGCUUUUGAAAGAGUGAUUUGGAAGCAUUUAGUGCUAUCAGCAAUCCAUAUCCUGUAAUUUAGAGAUGGAACACAAGAACUUUCCAGAAACGUACAAUGAAUGCAUGAAAAUGCUUUCAAGAGAAGCAACACUUCUCAGCAUGAAUUCUAUACAUUUCAUCUUGUCUGAUGUUAACAUUGCUAAAUAAGCUCAAGAACACAGAUAUAGAGUUGGAUACUAUCUGCAUACUGAUGAUACUUCACUCCAGCUCCUGAUGACAGCUCCCAGCAGCUUCAUAUAGAUGUUAAAUAACAUGGGAGACAAGGUGAAACCCUGCGGAACACCACAGGACAACUGCUAUGGUGCCAAACAAUAGCCUCCCAUAACUACUUGCUGGAAGCAUCUCCAGAGGCAGGAACAGAGCCACUGAAGCACAGGUCCCACAACCCCAAGUUCCCUGAAUUGCUCCAGAAGGAAACCAUGGUCAACAGUAUCAACAGCCUCCAAGAGACCAAGGAGAACACCACCACAAACAAUUUCUCAAACCUAACCAUAGUAGCUCCAACUUACAUGAGUCCCAGCCAGGAUGCCAAUGACCAGGGAUGGAAGUUAUAGUCCAGCAGCAUCUGGAGGGCUACACGUUCCCUAUCCUUGAGCUAGACCAAUGGAGAGCAAGCUCAAGGGAAAAGACCUUUGGAGAAUUUUAAAGCAAAAUACCAUUUGGAGGUAAGAGGAGCAGAAAAGAAAAAACUGUUGGAUAAGGAAAGGAAGAAACAAAAGCUUGGAAAGGAAACAAAUAGUGAGUAAGGCAGAAUGCCAACAGCUUUGAACACAGAGACACUUUGGAUGAUCAAUGCAAAAGGUGGACAGAUGAUUGGAACCUGCUGCAAAAAGCUGAACAAAACAAUAGCUGCUGUUUAUGGCUGGAUGGAGGAGUUUUUCUGCCUAAGCCAGAAAAUUUCUUUUAGAGGAGAUUCAGACAGGGACACAAUAUGACUCAUGGAAGGGCUUAACGGUUUUGUAUAAGGGAACCCCUCAUCUUCCUGUCCUGGACUUUUUGGCCAGCAACUUCUGCAUUUGUGUCUUAUUGGAUGCAUGGAACUUUGGGAUAUUCUGAAGACAUAUGUUAUAUUCUGUUGAGUUACAUUGUAUUGUUGUUGCCAUUUUUGCAAC